GCGAGAGUGGCGGAACUGGCAGACGCGCUGGAUUUAGGUUCCAGUGACCAAUGGUCUUGGGGGUUCGAGUCCCCCCUCUCGCA
RNAcentral lists this transfer RNA (83 nucleotides) under Candidatus Alcyoniella australis. RNAcentral's name for it is "tRNA-Leu". It matches the Rfam family "tRNA". Rfam says of the family: Transfer RNA (tRNA) molecules are approximately 80 nucleotides in length. Their secondary structure includes four short double-helical elements and three loops (D, anti-codon, and T loops). Lineage: Bacteria; Candidatus Lernaellota; Candidatus Lernaellaia; Candidatus Lernaellales; Candidatus Alcyoniellaceae. The record is from RNAcentral.